CAGCCGCCACGGGAAUACAAAGGGUGCAAGCGUUAAUCGGAAUUACUGGGCGUAAAGCGCGCGUAGGUGGUUUGUUAAGUUGGAUGUGAAAUCCCCGGGCUCAACCUGGGAACUGCAUCCAAAACUGGCAAGCUAGAGUAUGGUAGAGGGUGGUGGAAUUUCCUGUGUAGCGGUGAAAUGCGUAGAUAUAGGAAGGAACACCAGUGGCGAAGGCGACCACCUGGACUGAUACUGACACUGAGGUGCGAAAGCGUGGGGAGCAAACAGGAUUAGAUACCCCGGUAGUCCCUGUCUCUUAUAA
Molecule: ribosomal RNA, 301 nt
Filed under: uncultured bacterium
Lineage: Bacteria
Description: partial 16S ribosomal RNA
Rfam family: Bacterial small subunit ribosomal RNA
Source: RNAcentral